UACGAAGGGGGCUAGCGUUGCUCGGAAUUACUGGGCGUAAAGGGCGCGUAGGCGGGUCGUUAAGUUAGAGGUGAAAGCCCAGGGCUCAACCCUGGAAUUGCCUUUAAUACUGUCGACCUUGAGUAUGGCAGAGGUGUGUGGAACUCCGAGUGUAGAGGUGAAAUUCGUAGAUAUUCGGAAGAACACCAGUGGCGAAGGCGACACACUGGGCCAUUACUGACGCUGAGGCGCGAAGGCGUGGGGAGCAAACAGG
This 253-nucleotide ribosomal RNA is filed under the name uncultured bacterium. Its description in RNAcentral is "partial 16S ribosomal RNA". It matches the Rfam family "Bacterial small subunit ribosomal RNA", at positions 524 to 776 of the family's 1533-position model. The record is from RNAcentral.